CAGUCGCCGCGGGAAUACGUAGGUGGCAAGCGUUGUCCGGAAUUAUUGGGCGUAAAGGGCUCGCAGGCGGUUUCUUAAGUCAGAUGUGAAAGCCCCCGGUUCAACCGGGGAGGGUCAUUGGAAACUGGGAAACUUGAGUGCAGAAGAGGAGAGUGGAAUUCCACGUGUAGCGGUGAAAUGCGUAGAGAUGUGGAGGAACACCAGUGGCGAAGGCGACUCUCUGGUCUGUAACUGACGCUGAGGAGCGAAAGCGUGGGGAGCGAACAGGAUUAGAUACCCCAGUAGUCCCUGUCUCUUAUAC
Molecule: ribosomal RNA, 301 nt
Filed under: uncultured bacterium
Lineage: Bacteria
Description: partial 16S ribosomal RNA
Rfam family: Bacterial small subunit ribosomal RNA
Source: RNAcentral